CGCCUUUUGAUUUAUUAACAUAAAAGGUCCUGCCUGCCCAGUGACACCUGUUCAACGGCCGCGGUAUUAUGACCGUGCAAAGGUAGCGUAAUCACUUGUCCUUUAAAUAAAGACCAGUAUGAACGGCAAGACGAAAGCCUAACUGUCUCUCCAUAUUAGUCAAUGAAAUUGAUCUUUCCGUGCAGAAGCGGAAAUAUUAUUAUAAGACGAGAAGACCCUGUGGAGCUUUAAGUCAAAACUAACUAUUUAAUAUAGCAUAACCAAAGACUUUAGGUUGGGGCGACCACGAGGUAUAAUAAAACCCUCAAGAUAAAACCAUAGAAGGACACUUCAAAUAAACAAGAUAUUGAUAUAUUGACCCAAAAAUUGAUCAACGAACCAAGUUACCCCAGGGAUAACAGCGCAAUCCACUCAAAGAGUCCUUAUCGACGAGCGGGUUUACGACCUCGAUGUUGGAUCAGGACCCCCAAAUAAUGUAACAAUUAUUAAAGGUUCGUUUGUUCAACGAUUAAAGUCCU
This 518-nucleotide ribosomal RNA is filed under the name Thorius omiltemi. RNAcentral describes it as "partial large subunit ribosomal RNA". It matches the Rfam family "Bacterial large subunit ribosomal RNA", at positions 1816 to 2597 of the family's 2925-position model. The record is from RNAcentral. Lineage: Eukaryota; Metazoa; Chordata; Amphibia; Caudata; Plethodontidae.